This 280-nucleotide ribosomal RNA is filed under the name uncultured bacterium. Its description in RNAcentral is "partial 16S ribosomal RNA". It matches the Rfam family "Bacterial small subunit ribosomal RNA", at positions 41 to 322 of the family's 1533-position model. The record is from RNAcentral.
UGUCAGGCCUAACACAUGCAAGUCGAGCGGAUGAGUGGAGCUUGCUCCAUGAUUCAGCGGCGGACGGGUGAGUAAUGCCUAGGAAUCUGCCUGGUAGUGGGGGACAACGUUUCGAAAGGAACGCUAAUACCGCAUACGUCCUACGGGAGAAAGUGGGGGAUCUUCGGACCUCGCGCUAUCAGAUGAGCCUAGGUCGGAUUAGCUAGUUGGUGAGGUAAAGGCUCACCAAGGCGACGAUCCGUAACUGGUCUGAGAGGAUGAUCAGUCACACUGUAACUGC